This 990-nucleotide long non-coding RNA is filed under the name Heterocephalus glaber (naked mole-rat). RNAcentral describes it as "lncRNA (ENSHGLG00000039237.1)". The record is from RNAcentral. Lineage: Eukaryota; Metazoa; Chordata; Mammalia; Rodentia; Bathyergidae.
CGCCGAACUCUCCGAGGUGGGGUGGGGGUGAGAGGCUGAGCUCGUCUUGGGUGAGAGAAGCGCAGCGCCGGGCUCCCCUGACCUGCUUCACCCUCCCGGCUGGCUCUUUAAGUCCAAGAGUUUGGAUUUCCUGAGAUUGUUGACUGAGUGUAAGCGAAGGGGCCCCCUCUCCCCAGUCUGGCGAGAGGCAGCAGGAGGAGUGGGAUGGGGUGAAGCGAGGUGGGGGCGGUUGGAGAGAGACUAAAGCGAUGUACUCGAGACAGGAAAAGUGGGAGGAGGAGGGGGAGGAAAAGGGGGAGGAGGGGGAGGAGAAGGGGGAGGAGGCAGCCAUAAGUUGAGAGGGGAGGGAAACGCGUCGCCAGCCGGGCGCUGGGAGCUCCGCGCGCUCAGCGUUCGCAGAGUCGCGCCAGAGAAGAUCCGAGGCUGGGAGCGACCGGUGGAGAGCAGCACGCUUCCCAGUGACUUCCUCUCGUGGUGCUCUGGGGCAGCCUCUUGGCUCUGGCCCCAAGCAGGAACCGUGAGGACAGCCUAGCAGGAUCUGAGAGGGGCAGAGUUUCGGAGAUGGAAAAUGAAUCAGAGGAAGCUCCUUGCUGAUUUCGAUUAAACCUUGUUCUGAGACCUUCCCACUUCGCUGUCCAUACUUCGCCAUCUGUAUAAGGAUCCCGAGCACUCUAUGAAGAUCACUGUUUACUUUUUGGAGCCCCAACUCAGACAAUAAAAUCCGUCGGGGCGAAGGCUGCUCUGUCCCCGCGGUACCCACAGAACUUGGAGCUCAGCAGAUCGUAAAAUAAAUGCUGCCUGCUCGGGACAGAGCAGCUCAAUUCUACACCCUGGCGGCCAGCUCCGAGAUGUGGCGUAGGGGUGCGGCCGGCCAGGCAGGCAGCCAGCAGAACUCCUGACCCAGGACGGGCUCCGCAAGUGCCCGGCGCCCACUCGGACCCACGCGGCGCGAGAGGCCCGGACUUCAGGCCAGGAGGCCCCGGGGGCGGG